RNAcentral lists this ribosomal RNA (350 nucleotides) under uncultured Kushneria sp. Its description in RNAcentral is "bacterial SSU rRNA". It matches the Rfam family "Bacterial small subunit ribosomal RNA", at positions 790 to 1139 of the family's 1533-position model. Lineage: Bacteria; Pseudomonadati; Pseudomonadota; Gammaproteobacteria; Oceanospirillales; Halomonadaceae. The record is from RNAcentral.
GUAGUCCACGCCGUAAACGAUGUCGACCAGCCGUUGGAUCCCUUGAGGAUUUAGUGGCGUAGUUAACGCAAUAAGUCGACCGCCUGGGGAGUACGGCCGCAAGGCUAAAACUCAAAUGAAUUGACGGGGGCCCGCACAAGCGGUGGAGCAUGUGGUUUAAUUCGAUGCAACGCGAAGAACCUUACCUGCUCUUGACAUCCUGCGAAUCUCCCAGAGAUGGGAGAGUGCCUUCGGGAGCGCAGAGACAGGUGCUGCAUGGCUGUCGUCAGCUCGUGUUGUGAAAUGUUGGGUUAAGUCCCGUAACGAGCGCAACCCUUAUCCUUACUUGCUAGCGGGUAAAGCCGAGAACU